This 1152-nucleotide long non-coding RNA is filed under the name Homo sapiens (human). RNAcentral's name for it is "HSALNT0042417". Lineage: Eukaryota; Metazoa; Chordata; Mammalia; Primates; Hominidae. The record is from RNAcentral.
GCCACAUAGCAUCAAUGAAAGGAUCUGAAAUUUGACAAGAUUGGAAACACCUUCGGACAGGCACAAGGAAGUCACAUGUGGCCUGCCCAGCUUUGCAAUAUAGCCUGACUGAGGAAGCCUACACAGAUAUGCCCUAGGAAUCAGACAAUAAAACUGAAAAACAGACUAUAUAUAAAUGGACAACUGAGAAAAGAAGAUAGAUGUGGUGAGGAACCAGUCUUCUUGAAUCCCAGAUGGUUUCUAGUGGAUUUAUCUUAGCGGUUUGCUGAACUUCCCCCAGAAACCUGCUCGGAAGUCACCUGAGCCUUAGCCAGCAGAGGACUCUUUUGAUCCAUGUCCUUAGGCUGUUGAGCUCAGCUCAGGGAAUUGCUCCAUCCAGACCACCACAGCUCUUCCAGGGACAUGAAGAGCAAGAAAUGGAAACAAGCGAGCCCCACAGAGAGUUCGGAUUAAUGUGCAGUAAUUGCAUCACUGAUAUCUGUGUCCAGUCACAGUUGGCAUUCAAGAUUCUGUUGACUUUUACUGUUGAAGGCUUCCUUUAAGGGAAGCAAACACAAAUAAAAAGGCUGCCUCUCCACUGUAGCAAAGCUAAGUAAGAUCACUGUCCAACCCAGGAUAUCCAAAUUCAUGGUCAAAAAUCCAAAAGGGCUCAUCCAGCGCUUCUGGAGCAGCAGGGAAGCUUUGCCACAGGAUCCAGCAUCUCAGGGCACAGUAUCUUGCAUGGCUGACUUGAUCUCACUUUCUUCCUCGGAGCAGCUGUGUGGCAAUUCAGAGGUGAAGAGGCAGAUAAUUGGACAGUGGAAUUGAGUCCUGUGUGAUACAGAGCUAAAAAAGAAAUUCCUUCAGUAUCAACAGCAGUGUGGAAAGAACCCAACAAACAAAACUCUGUAUGUACAGCAAAUGAAGCCAAAGGGUGGCUUGAGAACAGUGGAGUUCUGCUUGGAUGUGACGAGACCACCAGCCAGAAAGCUCAGAGGCAUUACUCAUGAUGCAAGGCUGCUGUCAAGUAAUGAUUUAACUUAAAAAUGCCAUCUAUUCUUUUCCCUACCUGCCUACUCAGUACAUUGCAAAUUAACAUGAAAAGUGACUUCAGCACAAAUUGUUUAAUUUGUUUUUGUCAGGCCCGAGGUGUUGUGGAAACAAGAGACCCAG